GCAGAAGAACCGACCGACUUAUAUAAUAUAAUAUUAUAUUAUAAUAAUAAUAGUAUAAAAUUAUUUAAUGCAUAAUAGUGUUCUGAUGUUCGCGUAUUAUCGUACUGCAGCUGUGGACUCGAUAAAAUUAUUACUACGUGCCGAUGAGAAUGAUUUAAGUAUGACGAUGACAAACGACGGAGCUGUAGGACCGAGUGGCCGUGCCUUUGUGGACGACUACGAGACGACGAGUUGAUUCCGCCGGGACGUGUCCGCAAAA
Rhopalosiphum padi (bird cherry-oat aphid) is the source of this 259-nucleotide long non-coding RNA. RefSeq lists it as uncharacterized. Lineage: Eukaryota; Metazoa; Arthropoda; Insecta; Hemiptera; Aphididae. The record is from RefSeq and is a predicted model, not a curated record. The transcript is spliced from 2 exons.